CACCAGCAGCAGCACAGCCCCUCCAGCCACAGAGCCUUCUGUUCAGUGCAAGUUCUCUUGCUCCUUCGAUGAGGGCCUCUGCUCCUGGACACAAUCAAUUUUCGACAGCUUUGACUGGGUGCGGCACAAAGGCCCAACAGCCUCACCCGGCACAGGCCCAUCAUCUGACCACACCUCUGGAGAGGGCUACUACAUGUACCUGGAAGGUAACCAAACCAACUCACAA
Molecule: long non-coding RNA, 226 nt
Organism: Lacerta agilis (Sand lizard)
Lineage: Eukaryota; Metazoa; Chordata; Lepidosauria; Squamata; Lacertidae
Exons: 3
Source: RefSeq, a predicted model, not a curated record